AAAUGUCAUUAGGCUUCUUUGAAAAACUGGGAUACUACUCACUAGCUGGUUAUGCUAAUAGUUUCUCCAGCCCGGGACUAUAGGUGGGGCCAACAACUGGUAUUCCAGAAAAAAGAACAAAAAUUAUUUUCUGUUGUGAUAUUAAGAUUAAUGAUAGCCUCUCAAUAGCUCAGAAACUUCCGUUUUGUAAAUUGUGUGCUG
Molecule: long non-coding RNA, 201 nt
Filed under: Homo sapiens (human)
Lineage: Eukaryota; Metazoa; Chordata; Mammalia; Primates; Hominidae
Description: non-protein coding lnc-HNRNPR-2:1
Source: RNAcentral